RNA transcript from Danio aesculapii, 3554 nucleotides. It is a transcript of the gene named coiled-coil domain containing 177, with no coding region annotated. The transcript has 3 exons. The record is from RefSeq and is a predicted model, not a curated record. NCBI's taxonomy places the organism in Eukaryota, Metazoa, Chordata, Actinopteri, Cypriniformes, Danionidae.
ACCAGACGAGAACCGACACAUCCUAUAAAAACCGAUCUGAUGGAGAAGAGAGGAAAAUAACAGUGACUUGAUGCGCUCUGAAUGAGUGGGCCGGGAUAGCGUGAACCAUGGUGGACCCAUUGGAACCCGACGACCAGAGUAAAUUCAGGGGGGCCCAGUUUGAAAGCCCAGCUGCUGCCUCUGAAGCACCAUGUCUACCUGAGCCAGGUGAUGAUAAAGAGAUAGAUGUUAGUGUGGAUUCCAGCCCACAGACAUCACCGGGUACUGAACCUGUACAAAGCUCUCAAGAACCAUGCCAGCAGCAAAACAGUCAAUCAGAAGAGGUAAAACUGCAUCUGGACCUUUACAAUUUUGAUUCGCCAGUUGCAGAAGGUAGUCGGUAUGUACUGACAAGCCCUCGCUCUCUUGAGGCAUGUGCACGAUGUGGAGUGAAACCUGUGGAACUUCUGCCACGUCCACUGUCUGAUUUUGCACGUGAGGCACCUGGCCGCAGCAUGCGUGUCGCAACAGGAAUGUUUGAGAUAUAUGAGCGGGAUAGACAUGCUAAACUCCGGCACUGUAGAGAAGAGAGAGAGCGGAUUAUCAGAGAGGAGAAAAGGCGAUUUCUGCAAGCAGCUCUCAACAAUAAUAGUGAUACACUGGCUUCAGAGAAGUCUGAGGAAACUGUAAAUGCUGCAUUGUCUCAACAAACCAAUCAUAGUUUAACAAAUCCAUCCUCUAAGAUGGCUCCUCCUUGUAGCACCGCACCCAAAAAACAAUCAACAUCAACUGCUCCUAAAAGCAUGAUAGCAGGAUCUGGACAGGUGACUUCAGUAUCCACAUCUAGUUCUCCUCCGGCCUCAAAAUCAAGUCCAGUGAACUCUGCUGCUCCUCCCAAAGUAACCUCUGCAAAAAAAUCCAAGUCACUUGAAGUAGAAUCUGGGAGAAAACCAAGCAAACCAGUAAUCCAACGAUCAAUUCAGUCAGUUCCUGGAGGUCAGGGUCUAAAAAAACCUUCCAGUGCUACGACAAAGGCUCCAAAUACUUUCCCCAGAUCAAUACCAAAGCCUUCUUCUUUUCCAAGGACACCAACUUCACUUGCUCCAAUAGUGUCGAAAUCUGCUGUCCAAAGCCCUGCUAAUGGCAUCACGGGUGCAUUUGGGCAGCAUAAUGGCCAUAUCAUCUCCAAAUCAAAGGUUAGGUGCAGAAGCCAUUCUCUGGAGUCUUUGCAAAGAAGGCGUGACACAUUUAGUUCUUCUACUGCUUCAACAACAAAUACAACAAUUACUACGUGUACCUCCUCUGAGUCUGCUUCUUCAUCCUAUAGCUGGGAUGGGGCAAGAGAUCACUGGGCUAAAACAUCAAGCCCUCGUGCCCGCACUUUAGCGACAUUUAACUCUCUGAUGGGUCGCAGUUUAAGCUUGGGAGACCUUAGCCAUUCUCCACAGACUACGCAAAAAGUGGAGCGCAUCGUGAAGGAGGUGAAACGCAGAGGACUUAAAGCUGUUCCUGAACGUGACCGAAAGAUUGCUGCAUUAAUGCUAGCUAGGUACCAAGAGGAGGAUAUAAUGAGCCAGACACGCUAUGUAGCACACCUGCAAUGGGAUAGUGAGCGGCGAGUAGAGGAGCUGAGAAGGGAACGUGAAGAGCGUGAGAAACAGAGGGCCGUGCAGCAGUGCCAACGUGCAUGGCAAUCACAAGUUUCUACCAGACAGCGUUGGCUUAAUCAGCAGGAGCGUGAAGCUGCUAAAGCAAAACUUCGCCAAGCAGUGGAAAAUGAGGAGCGUUGGAAGGAGUUGGCUGAGCAACAAGAACGCAGUCGCUUGCAGAAACUGCAACAGGCUGCUCGCGAGGAGAAACACAAGAAGUCAUUACAAGAACAGAACCUCAAAGCUUUGGAAGAGGAGCGAGCUGCCAUUCUUGAGCAAGAGAAACUGCUCCUCAAGGAGAAGCUGACAAUUGCUGAGCUGAAGCGUCAGGAGCGAGAGCACCAGAAUCAGGAAGAGCGUCGUGGACUCAACCGUGCUGAGAAGAGACGGCAUGCAGCUCUUAUCCAAGAAAUUGCACGCCGUGAAACGGACGAUCGAGAAGAAGCACGGAGAACUGCGGAUGAGAAGCUAAGCAGGUCUUUGGAGAACUAUGAGCAGAUACAAGAAAAACGAGCACAAGAGUUGAAGGAGAAAGCUAAACGAGAAGGAAAGCUGAUCCAGAAAGCGAGACGCAGUGCUGAAAUACGUGAGCAACAGCAGAAGGAACAGAUGGAGGCAAAAGCUAAGGAAGCUGAAAGACGAGCACAACAAGCCGCUCAAGUAGCUGAAGAACGGGCUCGGGAGAAGGCCCAACGUGCGGUGCAAAGCAGGCAGGAAAAAGAACGACUUCAAAGACUUAAUCGUCAACGGGUGGAAGAGGAAGAGAAAGUGCGCCGCUUGGAAUUGUUGCAGUCCAUCGAGCGGAAACUGGAAAAAAGUGAACAAAUUUUCAGAGAAAAGCGUGCAGUGUUGGAAAGUGCCCGAUCUGUGGCACGUGCAUCUUUUCAUGUGCGGGAUCGUGUUCGCGAAGAGACGAACAUGCGUACCUUUGACAAGAUGGCCCUGGAGGCUCAGCUACAAGCAAAUUUAGUUGAAAAGUGAGCAUUUCAACUGUGAAGGUUAUUUGCUUUUUCCAUGCACCUCUGCGUAGAAAUAAGCUGUGCUUGAGCCUACAUGCUAGCCACACCACCAAAUUACAGCAACUCUUUUGAUGGUCAUGCCAUCUAAAGAUUCAUUAACUCCUGAUGCUGGAUCAUUUUCAUCAUGCCACCUGAAGAAAUAUUUUUCUGUACUUAUAUGUUUUAAAUGUUAAUCUAAGAACUGUGUGCUUAUGUGUGGAUGAUCAUAUUGAUGUCUGGGCAUGAUUGAUUUUUGAAAACUGGCAGCCAUGUUGCUUUGAGAACCGUAUAUAAAGAGUUCAUUGUUUACAAGGAAGUUUGGCACUAGUGCAACAGUGAUGACUUCUUUCUAAGGGUGGCUUUAUUUCUCAGAACAAGAAAAAGAAAAAAGGAUGGGAAGCCUUUCCCAGAGUAAAUCUUUUAAGGGAGAGUCUUGUUUUUGGAAUCUAGGCCACAGGAGUUUGAGCCAUGACUUGACUGUGUGUAAACCAAACUCUAACGAAAUGCUGACCCAGCAUUACAUCGUAGAGUCAGGACAUGACAAAGAAUGAUCUCAGCACAGUGUAAGCGCUGAUGAAGCACAAGAGUCGUUGGUCAGCAACAGACCCAGCAGGGCUCAAAUCCAUACUGACAUCCCCUGCAUUCCUCCAGGUUCGGGAGUGGAGAAGAUGAUGUUGACAUCUGCGGUCUGAUUCAGUUAAAAUAACCCUCAAGAGACUGCAAAAGUCUUUCACUUUGAUCAUGGAUCCUCAUUCUCUCUCUCUCUGGCAGUGACUCAGCAAGGCAUGAUGUAAUUGGGAGGUUUAAUAAAGCCUGCAGCCAUUUUAAUUCCAGCACAUCCAGAUGGCACCACAUUCGUGACUCUGGACCACAAAACCAGUCUGUAUGAAAUCUAAAUUUGCAAUAAUUAUGUUGCUAGCACACAUUG